This is a long non-coding RNA of Oxyura jamaicensis (ruddy duck), 516 nucleotides long. RefSeq lists it as uncharacterized. Lineage: Eukaryota; Metazoa; Chordata; Aves; Anseriformes; Anatidae. The record is from RefSeq and is a predicted model, not a curated record. The transcript is spliced from 2 exons.
GAGGAGGAGUGAGAAGGCAGUGUUGUGGAGUUUAUCUGUUCAUCAGUAUGAAACCACCACAUCCUCACACACCAGAAUCCUCCACAAGUGGGAGAAGAUGGCUUUUGUUUCACCUCCUGCUGCUCCCAGUUAGCCACACUGUGAACAAGAUGGGAUGAAGGAGGAGUCCCCUUGAGAUGUGAGAUCUGGCUUUUUGUCAGCUGGAGUUUCAAAGGCACAGGCUGAUCCCAAGCUCAACCACCUUUGCCUUGAUACAGCUCAUGAUACCCCUCUACAAGCUUGUCAUUCAUAGCUGCUAUGUCUGAUCCCACCGGGCAUUCAUCAUUGAAACAACUUCCUGGAACGUGCAAGUACUAAAAAGCCCAGUUUUCUUAGUACAAGCACUUUUCAAAGGAAGAUUUUUUCUGAGGGCAUUUGGUGCAAACUUUGUUAUAAAACUCACACAACCAUUCAGCCUGCACCAACAUUAAGAUCAUACUGAGGGCUACAUGGUUUUAAACAUGAGGUUAAAAAAAA